This 1924-nucleotide ribosomal RNA is filed under the name Marichromatium gracile. RNAcentral's name for it is "bacterial LSU rRNA". It matches the Rfam family "Bacterial large subunit ribosomal RNA", at positions 1 to 1955 of the family's 2925-position model. Lineage: Bacteria; Pseudomonadati; Pseudomonadota; Gammaproteobacteria; Chromatiales; Chromatiaceae. The record is from RNAcentral.
GUUAUAUAGUCAAGCAACUAAGCGCAUACGGUGGAUGCCUUGGCAGUCAGAGGCGAUGAAAGACGUGGAAGCCUGCGAUAAGGUUCGGGGAGCUGGCAAACGAGCUGUGAUCCGGACAUCUCUGAAUGGGGAAACCCACCUGGUUUCGGCCAGGUAUCUUGUACUGAAUCCAUAGGUGCAAGAGGCGAACCGGGGGAACUGAAACAUCUAAGUACCCCGAGGAAAAGAAAUCAACCGAGAUUCCCUCAGUAGCGGCGAGCGAACGGGGACCAGCCCUUAAGCUGGACAACUGGUAGGAGAAGGCCCUGGAAAGUGCCGCCAUAGUGGGUGAUAGCCCCGUAUCCGAAACCUGAGUCCAGUGAAAUCGAGUAGGUCGGCGCACGAGAAACGUUGACUGAACAUGGGGGGACCAUCCUCCAAGGCUAAAUACUCCUGACUGACCGAUAGUGAACCAGUACCGUGAGGGAAAGGCGAAAAGAACCCCUGUGAGGGGAGUGAAAUAGACCCUGAAACCGUAUGCGUACAAGCAGUCGGAGCAGACUUGUUCUGUGACGGCGUACCUUUUGUAUAAUGGGUCAGCGACUUAUGUUCAGUGGCGAGGUUAACCGUUUAGGGGAGCCGUAGGGAAACCGAGUCUGAAUAGGGCGAAUUAGUCGCUGGGCAUAGACCCGAAACCGGGCGAUCUAUCCAUGAGCAGGUUGAAGGUGCCGUAACAGGCACUGGAGGACCGAACCCACUGUCGUUGAAAAGCCAGGGGAUGACUUGUGGAUCGGAGUGAAAGGCUAAUCAAGCCCGGAGAUAGCUGGUUCUCCCCGAAAGCUAUUUAGGUAGCGCCUCGGACGAAUACCACAGGGGGUAGAGCACUGUUUCGGCUAGGGGGUCAUCUCGACUUACCAACCCGAUGCAAACUCCGAAUACCUGUGAGUACUAUCCGGGAGACACACGGCGGGUGCUAACGUCCGUCGUGAAGAGGGAAACAACCCAGACCGCCAGCUAAGGUCCCAAAGUACCAGUUAAGUGGGAAACGAUGUGGGAAGGCUCAGACAGCCAGGAGGUUGGCUUAGAAGCAGCCAUCCUUUAAAGAAAGCGUAAUAGCUCACUAGUCGAGUCGGCCUGCGCGGAAGAUGUAACGGGGCUCAAACUGGUCACCGAAGCUGCGGCUGCAUACUUUGUAUGCGGGGUAGGGGAGCGUUCUGUAAGCCUGCGAAGGUGUGUUGAGAAGCAUGCUGGAGGUAUCAGAAGUGCGAAUGCUGACAUGAGUAACGACAAUGCGGGUGAAAAACCCGCACGCCGGAAGACCAAGGGUUCCUGCGCAACGCUAAUCGGCGCAGGGUGAGUCGGCCCCUAAGGCGAGACCGAAAGGUGUAGUCGAUGGGAAACGGGUUAAUAUUCCCGUACCUUGGAUAGCUGCGAUGGAGAGACGGAGAAGGCUAGGUGAGCCGGGCGACGGUUGUCCCGGUUUAAGCGAGUAGGGAGUGGACUUAGGCAAAUCCGGGUCCACAAUUCUGAGACGCGACGACGAGUGCCCAAGGGUGCGAAGUCAUUGAUGCCCUGCUUCCAGGAAAAUCUUCUAAGCUUCAGGCUAUUCGAGACCGUACCCCAAACCGACACAGGUGGUCAGGUAGAGAAUACCAAGGCGCUUGAGAGAACUCGGGUAAAGGAACUAGGCAAAAUGGUGCCGUAACUUCGGGAGAAGGCACGCCGGUGUGUACGUGAAGCCCCUGCGGGUGGAGCGGAAGCCGGUCGAAGAUACCAGGCCCCUGCGACUGUUUAUUAAAAACACAGCACUCUGCAAACACGUAAGUGGACGUAUAGGGUGUGACGCCUGCCCGGUGCCGGAAGGUUAAUUGAUGGGGUUAGCACUCGUGCGAAGCUCUUGAUCGAAGCCCCGGUAAACGGCGGCCGUAACUAUAACGGUCCUAAG